CCUACGGGUGGCAGCAGUGGGGAAUAUUGGUCAAUGGGCGCAAGCCUGACCCAGCAACGCCGCGUGAAGGAAGAAGGCUUUCGGGUUGUAAACUUCUUUUGGCAGGGAAGAGUAGAAGACGGUACCUGACGAAUAAGCCACGGCUAACUACGUGCCAGCAGCCGCGGUAAUACGUAGGUGGCAAGCGUUGUCCGGAUUUACUGGGUGUAAAGGGCGUGUAGCCGGGUUGAUAAGUCAGAUGUGAAAUCCUGCGGCUUAACCGCAGAACUGCAUUUGAAACUGUUGCUCUUGAGUACUGGAGAGGCAGAUGGAAUGCCUAGUGUAGCGGUGAAAUGCGUAGAUAUUAGGAAGAACGCCAGUGGCGAAGGCGGUCUGCUGGACAGCAACUGACGGUGAGGCGCGAAAGCGUGGGGAGCAAACAGGAUUAGAUACCCCUGUAGUC
Molecule: ribosomal RNA, 442 nt
Filed under: uncultured bacterium
Lineage: Bacteria
Description: partial 16S ribosomal RNA
Rfam family: Bacterial small subunit ribosomal RNA
Source: RNAcentral